UAGUACUGGAGGAGGUGGUGGACCUGGUGGAAAGAAAGCAGCGAAGAAGAAAUGCUCUUCUUUCAGUGUCAGCUCUCUUCAGGGUGAUUAGUGAAGCUCAAAGUUUUUGUGCUUAUUUUAUAUAAGCUUUUUAGUUUUGGAAAUGAUCACACAAGCCAGUCUGCUCUUCAGGAAAACCUUGGGAAGCUGAUGACCAGCUUGAGAAGCACUCAUCCACAUUCUGUAAGAUGCAUUAUCCCUAGUGAGACUAAAACAGGUGUUAUGGAGAAUCAUCUGGUCAUCCAUCAGUUGAGGUGCAACGGUGUGUUAGAGGCAAUCAGAAUCUGCAGGAAGGGUUUCCCAAGCAGGAUUCUGUAUGGAGACUUUACACAAAGGUACAAAGUACUGAAUGCAAGUGUCAUCCCUGGAUCAUACCCAGUAUAAAUUUGGGCACACCAAGG
Long non-coding RNA from Colossoma macropomum (tambaqui), 440 nucleotides. RefSeq lists it as uncharacterized. The transcript has 3 exons. Lineage: Eukaryota; Metazoa; Chordata; Actinopteri; Characiformes; Serrasalmidae. The record is from RefSeq and is a predicted model, not a curated record.